RNAcentral lists this long non-coding RNA (509 nucleotides) under Chrysemys picta bellii (western painted turtle). RNAcentral describes it as "lncRNA (ENSCPBG00000016742.1)". The record is from RNAcentral. Lineage: Eukaryota; Metazoa; Chordata; Testudines; Emydidae.
UCCCUGGGAAAUUUUAAUUCAGCCUCUGACAUCAUUUCCACCCAAGUUAUUCAUUUCCAGGAUGACGUUGUUUGGCUGCUUCCAUUCUAAAAUGUUGCCUUUUUCUUAUUAUUCUGAUACCUUCCAGAGUGAGACGUCAUUCUGUAACAGCCUUCUUGAUAUCAUGUGCCUUGAAUGUCAUGAGAACAUCCGCACGUGACUUCUACAUAAUCUCACGGUGGUUGUACGGCUCUGUUUAACCUGAUGUCGUUCUUGCUUUCCGAUCGUUUUCAGAAUGCUGGACAUGAAAAUGAGUUGAACAUUAUGAAAUCUCCUGUCCCUCUGGGUUGGCAAUCAGUGGUCAUCUACCAUCAUCUCAGAGGAAAACCAGAAGAGCUCCACUCUAACUUCUGUAAGGGUUAGUCCAUUAUGGAAGAUCAAACAAUUUUCUGGCGCUGGUUUUGUGAAAUUCGGCUGCUGCCUUGGACCCUCCAUUUGAAAAAGAAAUUAACGUUGAGGAACAAAUAAAG